GCAUAGUUCUUCCGCAUGGUAGAACUAUUAAAGAAUUUCGGUCAUCGAUGGGGAUGCGUUCCAUUAGCUUGUUGGCGGGGUAACGGCCCACCAAGGCAUCGAUGGAUAGGGGUUCUGAGAGGAAGGUCCCCCACAUUGGAACUGAGACACGGUCCAAACUCCUACGGGAGGCAGCAGUGAGGAAUAUUGGUCAAUGGGCGCUAGCCUGAACCAGCCAAGUAGCGUGAAGGAUGACUGCCCUAUGGGUUGUAAACUUCUUUUAUAUGGGAAUAAAGUGCAGUAUGUAUACUGCUUUGCAUGUACCUUAUGAAUAAGGAUCGGCUAACUCCGUGCCAGCAGCCGCGGUAAUACGGAGGAUCCGAGCGUUAUCCGGAUUUAUUGGGUUUAAAGGGAGCGUAGGCGGGUUGUUAAGUCAGUUGUGAAAGUUUGCGGCUCAACCGUAAAAUUGCAGUUGAUACUGGCAUCCUUGAGUACAGUAGAGGUAGGCGGAAUUCGUGGUGUAGCGGUGAAAUGCUUAGAUAUCACGAAGAACUCCGAUUGCGAAGGCAGCCUGCUGGACUGUAACUGACGCUGAUGCUCGAAAGUGUGGGUAUCAAACAGGAUUAGAUACCCUGGUAGUCCACACAGUAAACGAAGA
Molecule: ribosomal RNA, 637 nt
Filed under: uncultured bacterium
Lineage: Bacteria
Description: bacterial SSU rRNA
Rfam family: Bacterial small subunit ribosomal RNA
Source: RNAcentral